Molecule: long non-coding RNA, 417 nt
Organism: Mycetomoellerius zeteki
Lineage: Eukaryota; Metazoa; Arthropoda; Insecta; Hymenoptera; Formicidae
Exons: 3
Source: RefSeq, a predicted model, not a curated record
GAUGAGUAGAUACUCCGCAAGAAGAUACAACAACUGUCAGUAAAACAAAUUACAAUCCGGAUGUUGAUAGACCUUUUCGUGAAUUAUCGAUAACCGCACCGAAAGCGCCGCUUUUCGAAUUAACAGUUAAGAAGCGCCUGAAGAUGCAAAUGUAAUUCAAUCUUGGAGCGCGCUAGGAUUUGUAUAAAUCUGCUAAUGAAAUCCAAGCGCGAGAUAUCUCAAGAAGAAUGACGUCGAUGAAUAAAGGAGGUCAAAUGCCGAUCGUGACAGCCUGCUAAUUACAGCUUGCGUCUUGUCUACCGCAGACUAUAUUUAACAACGUUGUCAAUGACUGCUAUUGAUGUUCCUAAGUGUGUCCUGUGCAAACACGACGAAUUCAAAAUUGCGAGCACGUAAAACAAAGUAAUGAUAACAUUA